AAGCACCGUUUCUCAUCUAUCACCGCGCUGCUGCUGCUGCUGCUUCUUCUUCGUCAUCGUCGUCGUCGUCGUUUCUUGAUGUUCUUCGCUCGAUGGUCGGCAAAAAGAGCAUUCUCUUCUUUUUUGGUCGAUCCCGCCGACACCGACCCUCCAGGAUUAUUGACUUUUAUACCUGUACCUUUCUCUUAGGUUCUAUUUCUUCAAAUGAACGCACCCUCAACACAUUUGCUAUUAACUGGGGAAAAGCAGUUGACGACACGCACCUGGACGCGGAAUCCAAUUGCGUUGGAAGACCAUACGUGAAACGCGCUGUCGGUUGCAGGUCAUCUCGAUAAUUGUCGUGAUCGUGGUGGUGGUCUCGUAGCGUUGCGUGCUGCACCAGAUUUCGUGGUUUCACCAGUCACGAUCAUCCAUGCUUCUUCUCUCAAAAUCAUGUGUCGUUUAUACGAGCCUUCAAGGGCCAAUUCCCUGGCGUGCUGCGUAUGGACUUGCGUAGUCGACGACGCGGCAGGCGCAACUCAUACGCUCGAUACCCGGGGAGUCUAAGCGGUAGGAGCGACUCCAGCUCUGUGAUCGAAGAGAAGAAUCGUUUAGCGCUGUAGGCAAGAAGGCGCAUGCGCCGGGUUACCAUGGCUGGCGCUCUGGUCUAUGGCGACAAUCGAGUACUCGCAGGAUAGCUAGCCCGAUGCAGCGCUCCGGCACCGUUCACGAUUCGAUGUCAUGGUGCAUACUGUGGACAGCUGGGUGCAUGCAGCGCCUCAAGUUGCUUACUACGCGCAUUCAUGCUGCUGAUACCUGACGAGGAUGCGGCUGCGCUCCAUGCGGGAGGUUUUCCGCCCGAGCAUCGAGCGACAUGCCGGUUUGAUGCGCACGAAUCGUGGUGCGCUGUUUGUUGGUAUGCGAUGGCAGCUGAGAACGCAAAGAGGCACGAAUCUAACUCAAGUCGUUGCUGUCCAGUGCAAACCGAUAUGUCAUGUCCAGGAAGGAGCAGAAGUUGACUCUGCAGGCCAUUCGGUUGUGACCCGGUUCCCGUUCGGGUGGUUUCGAUGGAGAACUGAAACCCGCUAUUUGCGCAGCAAAUCGCCUCUACCGUCCUGGUUGACGCGAUAUGAGAGCAACGAGAACAGCGUGCCAAUUUGCCGGAGGAGCGCAACUGUGCUGCGAGAGCGACUUUAUGCAGUCACUAGCGUACGCGUUGCGCUCGUCGUUAUCUACUGGCCGUGGCGACCCGCCGAGCGAACAAUGGCGUCCAGCGUUUUAUCAUCGGCAGCGCCCUUUGAGGCGAGCCUCUGAUGCUGUUCGUGAGAACGCCAGCAAAUCAAUACCUCGAGCGGUAGCGGCACACUCGCCGCUACUGAUGCUCGCCCACGCAUCCAAAUCCUCGGGCACGAUUCCCGUCACGAAUUCAACAGAAACCACGAUCCAUCUUUUGCAAUGCAAUCCAACAACCUUGGACGUUAUGUUUUACGAAGCAGCUUGCUUUACUCGUGACCGAUUCACCAGUCCAUGGCAGCCGGUGGCAGCGGCACCUCGUCGCUCCACGACUUUCGCACCACAAAAUCGAACGGCCCUGCCACCGCCCCCCAGAGCUGUUCAUGCGUUUGUGGGCAACGGCCGAUAUCCAGUGCCGUGCAGCGCGACUCCGAGAGCGUCAUUUGUGCAUCGAGAUAGCUGUCGCGAUCACCACGUCGUACCAUGCACUUGCAUCCAGGUCGAGUUUUGCAUCGGUACAGCUGUUCGGCUUCGACCCAUUCGAAGACGGCAUUGCAUGCUUCCGGCAAUUUCACGCAUCGAUUGGUGUGCCGGGGAUGCGCCUGUCGAACGAGCUCUGCGAGCUUGCUGCGAUCGAAAGCAGCCGUGUAGAACUGUUCAACGCCUUCGACUUUGUAGGACUCCGUUUCCAACGCACCGUCGCUAUUUCGCGUGAUUUUGAUAAUAGUCGCCCGAUACGGAAGCUUCGGUGCAUAGGUGUAAAUCGAUUCCACGUAAAAGGCG
Molecule: unclassified non-coding RNA, 1995 nt
Filed under: Cyanidioschyzon merolae strain 10D
Lineage: Eukaryota; Rhodophyta; Bangiophyceae; Cyanidiales; Cyanidiaceae
Description: hypothetical transcript
Source: RNAcentral